UUAAGUCCCGCAACGAGCGCAACCCUUAUCAUUAGUUGCUACGCAAGGGCACUCUAUAGAGACUGCCGGUGACAAACCGGAGGAAGGUGGGGAUGACGUCAAGUCCUCAUGGCCCUUAUGGGUAGGGCUUCACACGUCAUACAAUGGUCGGUACAGAGGGUUGCCAAGCCGCGAGGCGGAGCCAAUCCCACAAAGCCGAUCGUAGUCCGGAUUGUUCUCUGCAACUCGAGAGCAUGAAGUCGGAAUCGCUAGUAAUCGCAGGUCAGCAUACUGCGGUGAAUACGUUCCCGGGUCUU
Molecule: ribosomal RNA, 296 nt
Filed under: uncultured Thiobacillus sp.
Lineage: Bacteria; Pseudomonadati; Pseudomonadota; Betaproteobacteria; Nitrosomonadales; Thiobacillaceae
Description: partial 16S ribosomal RNA
Rfam family: Bacterial small subunit ribosomal RNA
Source: RNAcentral